Long non-coding RNA from Alligator mississippiensis (American alligator), 5474 nucleotides. RefSeq lists it as uncharacterized. Lineage: Eukaryota; Metazoa; Chordata; Crocodylia; Alligatoridae. The transcript is spliced from 4 exons. The record is from RefSeq and is a predicted model, not a curated record.
GCCUGUGGCCAGAUCUGCCAUUUUACCCAGCCCUGUUCUAGACUCUGGAGGCCUUUGGCUUUGGGCCCCUCUUCACCUCUACCAUCUGACUCCUGUACUGUGACCUCUCCAGCCUUCUGAAGAUAAACGCAGUGCUAUGUAGCCUAUUCUCAGCAUCCAGGGGCAUCCAGCAGGGCUGCCCCACUUUCAGGAAUGUUAUAUGCUCUAGCCUUUAAGCCAUAGAUAUUAAUUCAUAGGGUCUCAUGAGGUAAGGGUCUUUUUCAGAGCUGGAAAUAGAUUCACAAUCAACUUCCUUGGAGAAUACAAAGAGCUGGUUUGAAUAUAUAUUGUGAAGCAACUGAUCUACUUGGACUAUAUUGUAUAUUGCAAAGUAAAGCUACUGUCCAGGACAAAGUGGUAGCUCACACCUGCGUACAUUAACAGCAGAUGAAUAAUUAAACUGGGAAAGUUUCAUAUGAGAAGUAAAAUGACUCAAUGUUCUAUUUGGAGGAGCGGGAAGGAAGCUCCAUAAAAAUGAACAUCAAAUUGGGGAACUCCUGGCUAUCAAAAUGUAUGAUCUGUCAGCCAAGAUUCAGAAGAGAGUUGAAGGGGUAGCCUAAAGGAACCAGUGAAAGGAAACAGAAGUUGAUGGUUUCAGCAAUCACACAUCUUAUCAUGAUGAAAUUAUUCUAUUUGCUCUUGGGCAGAUACACAACCUAUAUAAAGAACAGCAUUCUUUUGAGGUACCAUGGACCAGAAGUACCUAUAGAAGAAGCAGUCUUGGGAUCCCAUGCUGGAAGAGAGACAUCUAUUUUUUGGAAUCUGGUUCAACUGUUCUGGGGAAGAGCUAUUCUGCUAUCCACAGCUGAUUUCAUCUCAACAUCGUAGAAAUCAUGAAUCCAUUGUUGCUGGAAUCAAUCAGGAACUGGGACCCCAUUGUACCAGAUACUAUAUACACAUAAAAUGAAAAAGUCCCUGUCAUAUCAGACAAGAGGCAACAGGUGGAUACAACAACUGGGUUAGCAACCAGUAACAGUGGGACCAUUCUGAUUAAUGUAAUGAAAAGUGCAGUGCUGGUUACAGCUUCUGCGGCUUCAGGAAUGCACAAAGCCUGCCCUGUGAGACUAACUGAAAACAGACGGCUACAUAAUGAAUCCAGAGGGGUUUAUGGAGCAAAGGGGUUUAUGGAGUAAUGAGGAAAUCUCAUACUAGAUGGAAGCCUGGUCAAAAAUAGUAUCAAGGACCUUGUGAAGCAGCACUUUUACUUAUGCAUUUUGUAUACCUAUAGCAGGUGGGUCUGACCAAGGAACAUCCAGGUUGGGAUUUCAGCUUUGAGGUUCAAAAAGGGAGGGUGGUGGUUCCAGCUCAAUAUGAACAAGACAUAGAAUCAUAGAAUCAUAGAAGUAGGGUCGGAAGGGACCUUGUAGAUCUUCAAGUCUGACCCCCUGCCUGGGCAGGAGGAAAACUGGGCUCAAUUGACCCCAGUCAGGUAGGCAUCAAGCCGCCUCUUAAAGACCCCCAGGGUAGGAGCCAGCACCACUUCCCUUGGAAGUUGGUUCCAGAUCCUAGCCGCCCUUACUGUGAAGUAGUUUUUACAGAUGUCUAAUCUAAACCUACUCUCCAACAACUUGUGGCCGUUAUUCCUUGUUAUCCCGGGGGGCGCUAGGGGAAACAAGGUCUCCCCCAAACCCUUCUGGUCCCCCCUAGUGAGUUUAUAGACAGUCACCAGGUCCCCCCUCAGCCUUCUCUUGUGAAGGCUGAACAGGUUCAGGUCCCAUAGCCUCUCAUUGUAGGGUCUGCCCUGCUGUCCCCGGAUCAUGCGGGUGGCCCUCCUCUGGACCCUCUCAAUGUUGUCCACAUCCCUCUUGAAGUGGGGUGCCCAGAACUGGACACAGUACUCCAGCUGUGGCCUGACCAGUGUCACGUAGAGGGGGAGGAUCACCUCCUUGGACCUACUUGAGAUGCACCUAUGGAUGCACGAUAGGGUCCGGUUAGCCCUGCUGACCGUGACCUCGCAUUGUUGGCCCAUGAUCAUCUUGGAGUCAAUGAUGACUCCAAGAUCCCUUUCUGCCUCUGUGCUCUCAAGAAGGGAGUUUCCCAUCUGAUAAGUGUGCUGCUGGUUGCUACUGCCCAAGUGCAGCACCCUGCACUCGUCCGUAUUGAAACGCAUCCUGGUUUUGUUAGCCCACCCCUGCAACCUAUCUAGGUCUUUCUGCAGUCUUUCCCUCCCUACUAGCGUGCCCACUUCACCCCAAAUUUUGGUAUCAUCAGCAAAUUUGAACAGGUUGCUUUUCACCCUGUCGUCCAAAUCGCUGAUAAAGAAACUGAACGGUGCGGGCCCAAGGACCGAGCCCUGGGGGACUCCGCUGCCCACUUCCCCCCAGGUCGAAUAUGACCCGUCCACCACCACCCUCUGAGUAUGACCCUUCAGACAAUUUGCAAUCCAUCUGACUGUGUAGGCAUCGAUGUCACAGUCGCCUAGUUUUUUAAUGAGGAUGGGGUGGUCGACAGUGUCAAAGGCCUUGCUGAAGUCCAGAAAGACUACAUCCACCGCGACACCUGCAUCCAAUGCUUUUGUGACCUGAUCGUAAAAGGCAAUCAGGUUGGUCUGACAUACCCUGCCCCUAAUGAAACCAUAUUGGUUGCCUUUGAGCAUAAUCCCCAAUGCCGGCCCAUCACAGAUGUGCUCCUUGAUGAUCUUCUCAAAUAGGUAGCAACAAGUAGUGACAAAAAAAUUAAAUGCUUUCCUCAAGAGAAGCCUAUUCAUCUCUCUGUGGUUCAGUUCUCCUUAUCUAUCUAUCUAUCUAUCUAUCUAUCUAUCUAUCUAUCUAUCUAUCUAUCUAUCUAUCUAUCUAUCUAUCUAUCUAUCGUUUUCCUGUAACACCAGUUUUUUCUGUCAUCCUGAGCAUGUCCACAUGUUCAUUAAAGCGCCUUAGGUACUGCACAUUUAGUUUAGUACUAGCUUAAUAAAGUACUAACUAAAUGUGCAGUAACUAGAGUUACUGUGCACUAGCACCAGUGCACAAUUUUUUUUGUGACACUUACUGCGCAUUAGCCUAAUAACACUGCACUGCACAGUAGGCUAUUAACUGCCAUGCUAUUGUGCAGUGUUAUUAGGCUAAUGUGCAGUAAGUGUCUUAUGUAGACACACCCCCAUCUCUUGUCACAAUGGUAUAGCACCUAGCACAAUGAAAUUCUAUUAGAUGUUAUUGUAAUACAGUUAUAAAGGAGAAGAGGUGGCUUGAAAGGUACAAAAAGUUUGAGGCAGGGUAGUAACUGUGACACAACAGUAAUAUAUAAACAGUUCAAUUAGAAAGUUCAUGAUUGAUUUUAAUAUUGUUACAAAACUGUCUCCUAAAAACUGAAGAAUGAUUUGACCUGUCAUUAGAUGUUGUGGGGAAAAAACACAAUAAAUAAAUUAAAGUUUCUGUACCGAAAUCUUUAUUUUUAUCUCAGUAAACUCACAAUGUUCUCCAACAUGGGGACAAUUCUGGACUAUUGAAAUAUCCCUUGACACAGAAAUGGUUUUUAACAUUCCUCAUCAUAACUGUAAUCUGCCACUGGUGCUAAAAGUCUUGGAGAAUAAAAUUAGGGCUGUGGUUCACGUCUUGAUGUGAACAUGAAACAUUCAGAGCUUCUCCCAGCUCCUGAAGAAGACAUGGAGCCUACUUUUCCCUCCUUGUAAAGUCAAUGAAAUUAUAGUAGUGGAAAUAAGAGGAGUCUUGGACAUAGGCUCAACAGGGUCUGACCAACUAAAGAGAAAGUUCAUACAAGGGUCAGUGAAAGAAAAAUGAAACCUCUGGGCUCCCAGGUUUAUUUUGAACACGAAUCAUGAGAAAACCAAACAACAUAUAAAAUCCCAGGGGUGUUGUGGCCUCUGGUCACAGUCCUGUCACACAGCUUAAAUCCAGAAAUGUAGAAAACAGCUGAAAUCAGAAAUCCAGCAGUUCUGCCCCUUAAGUGCUCUCUUGUCCUGGACUCAGACAGCAGCUCUUGAAACUAGCUCAAGUUUCUUCUAAGACUAACAAAGCUUAGCUGCCUCAUAGUCUUUCCCAACUGAAAGUGCCUCCUUGAAUUAUCUCAGCCCCAUACAUGCUACUUCUUCAGUCAAAUCUUUAUCAGGUCACCCUGGAGUGGUGCCAAAGAAUGCAAUGCUCUAUCACAAAAGCUGAGUCUUGUCUAGGAUAAGGAAAAGACAGCCCGUGGGUUAUCCCUUGAAAUUUGAAAAGGGUGGCUAUCCAACCCAUCCCCUCUAUCUGUCUUAUACAUCUAAGCAAGAGAUAGCCAACAAGCUUUCCUCUGCCUCAGCACAUGCAAUAUGUCUAAUAUCUUCAGGUUUUGAUUCAUAGGUGGGCAAGGAAUAGUCCUCAUUUUUACCACUAACAUAUAUUCCGAUGUCUCCAGACUAAUAGGGACAGCAAACCAUUUAGUGCAGAUUUUAUUUAAUCAAUUGGGAGUCUAAAUGGACUUAGGCACCUAACAGCAAUUCUAUUCCACCCCGCUUGACCGCCUGAAAAUCCUUUAAUGCAGGGCUGUGCAACUUCUAAGUGGCUAGUGGCCAAAGCUACAGUCCCCUCUGAACCACAUGCCAUGUGGGUGUCCCCCCUCAGCACUGUGUGGGAACCCUCCCACACCUGCACUGUGCACCCUCCCCCCAGAUACACUGCAUGUCUUCACUGCCCAGGCUCACCCUCAGCUCCCCAUGCUGCACUACCCUGCUCCCUAGGGUAGGGGCAGGAAGUGGAAGCCAGUGGAGGGAGGAGGAGCCCAGAGACUCUGGCUGCUGUUGCCAGCUGGAUAACCAUACUUUAAUACAUCUACUUUGUAACACACAAUCAUCUUGUCCUUAAGAAUGAGUAAGAAAAAUUGAAGUGAGGAAGAAAAAGACUCACCCACCUUUUCUAUUAACCACUUUGCAAGUACUCAGAUUGAGUGGAACAGAAUUGCAUUUAGCUACCUAAAUCUACUUAUGUGCCUAAUAGGUGGAAUAGACUAUAGUCCUCAUUGUCUCUCAUCCAGUUCCUUGAAAGAGGACAGUAAUUAGUAAUGGUAAUAUUAAUAACAGGAAACUCAUAAGAUUCUUUUUAAUGAGCAAACACAUCUUAAAGGAGCACUUAAAAUAUAGAGUCAUAGGAGACUCCAUCCUGAGAGGUACGGAAGGACCCAUCUGUCGCCAGGACCCCUCGGCACGAGAGGUAUGCUGCCUCCCUGGAGCAAAGAUUCGGGAUGUGACGGAGGUAAUCCAGGCCAGGAUCAAGCCCACCGAUUAUUACCCCAUGGUCCUAGUCCAUGUGGGUACUAAUGAUGCGGCCAGGAGAACCCCCGAUCACUUGAUGGCAGACUACUGUGCUCUGGGCGGCGUGCUGAAGGAGUUCGGUGCCCAGGUGGUUUUCUCUUCCAUCCUACCAGUGACCGGACGAGGAAGAUGGCAGGAGAACUGCAUCAGAGAGACCAACUGGCGGCUUCGGCAGUGGUGUCUCGAGGCAGGCUUCGGC